CAGAAAUGGAUAUAUAUAUUUGUUUCUCUCGCCAUUCUGGUUCUGGUUCCCUUGAUCUAUCUCUUGUUAAAGAAAGUUGCUUCUUGUCAGAGAUCUUCAAGAGAACAAGCUCCAGCUGAAAACAUAAGAAACUGUGUCUACGAUGAAACUCAAUAUGCAGGCAUUAUGGGGCUUGGCGAACCUAUGUUGCUGCAGCCCAAGAAUACAGAAAGAACAGUAUAUGCAAACCUGGUUCCACAAAACAGGUGUUCUUCCCUCCACCUUGCACCUUCCUCAGAGACAUCAUGUGCAGAUAAGGAAUUCUCAGAGCUAAUGGCACUUCAUGGAGAUGGAUAAAGGAGAAUAAAUAUGGAAGGAUGAACUCAGAAAGGUGCCGAAGAAUACUUCCAUCCCAUUCUCUGUUUUAUUGCUUUAUUUUGACAUGCUCCUCAGUAUUCCAGCAUCCAGUGUACAGAUUUCUGUCCUUUUUAUACUCUUCUGGUCUGUUUCACCAUGCAGUCCUCCCAAGACUCCUGUUAUUUAGCCUAUUUUCACUGUUAUGCUUCUUUUGGUAGAUUAGUUGUAUAAUAUCCAUCCUCACAGAAGAUAAUUUGAGUGAGCAUCUGAAGAGCCUUAGUGUCAUUCACGACUGAUUUGGUCUGACUGCCAUUUCUGAUGUUAGCAUAGCUUUCAAGUGUCUAUACAUAGGGAUCGUCUUACGUCAGUCACAAACAGCACAAUGAGUGAGGGCCACUGUUUUGUUAAUAUUCAUCCGUAGUCAAAUUCAAUAAAUAUGUUGGCCCUGAC
Eublepharis macularius is the source of this 786-nucleotide long non-coding RNA. RefSeq lists it as uncharacterized. NCBI's taxonomy places the organism in Eukaryota, Metazoa, Chordata, Lepidosauria, Squamata, Eublepharidae. The transcript is spliced from 5 exons. The record is from RefSeq and is a predicted model, not a curated record.